AUGGGGCAAGAAGAGGACGCCCUGACCGUGGCCUUGUCGUGGGAGCAGGAGGAGGGCAUGCCGGAGAGCCCGAGGAAGGCGCCGGUGGUCCUGUCGUGGGAGCACAAGCCGGCCGUGAAGAAGCCGGUCUCGACGGAAGCCCGUGGUGGUGGCAUGCGGGAGGGCCAGAGGAAAGUGCCGGCGCUGGCGAGGCGGCUGUCGGUGCCGCCGCCGCCGGGCAGGCCGGCGGCGAGGGGCUACUCGAGGGCCGUCCGGCCGGAGGACGACCCUUUCCUGGCGGCGUACCUCGCCUGCACCAAGAGCAGCGGCGACGGCGGGAAGAAGAAGACCGGCGGCGCCGCGCGGGAGCCCAAGGGCGAGAGGCGGUGGAGCGUGCUCGGGCGUGGGCUGGGCGUGCUGUCCUGCAAGCGGUGCAACGGCGUCAUGGAGCAGAGCAUGGUGAGGCUGGCCAAGCUGCCCGAGCUGGAUCCCAGGGAUGCUUAA
Molecule: ribosomal RNA, 483 nt
Filed under: Triticum aestivum (bread wheat)
Lineage: Eukaryota; Viridiplantae; Streptophyta; Magnoliopsida; Poales; Poaceae
Description: partial small subunit ribosomal RNA
Source: RNAcentral